This is a non-coding RNA of Canis lupus familiaris (dog), 88 nucleotides long. Lineage: Eukaryota; Metazoa; Chordata; Mammalia; Carnivora; Canidae. The record is from Rfam.
CGGGGGAGGCCGGAUCCUGGGUGUGUCCCGGCGCCCUGUGCUCCGGAGCCUGCGCUGUUGGAUUCGCGCUCCAGGGCUGCAGCCACCU